GAGCUGGUGGGGGAGUCCUCCGCAUGGGGCGUGUUCCGGAGCCCCGGGCUGGUGCAGCUGGAGAUCGGGCUCCACAGGCCAGGCUCCGCACAGACCCAGGAACCUGUACUUACGGGUGUGAGAGGACGGUGUGGGGACCCCCUCCGUGGCCAGCGACAGAGCGAGACACGGGCUUUGGGGAAGGAAAACCCCUGGAUGGCUGCCGGGAUCCAGAGGCGGGGCGGGGGCUGGAGGCUGCCUGGGGGGCGGUACGGAGCCCACCUGGGAUCAGGGCCCUCAAGGAGCCCUUCCUGGUGACCCGAGUCUUUCCCAGACCUGAAAUCAGGGGCCUGGUGCAAGAGUGGGGUGCCCGGGCUCUGCCGCAGUCAGCAGCCACUUUUCCUCGACGGCCCAGGCUCUCGGUCUGUGUGGUGAGCCCCGCACGCCCUGCCUGCCCCUCCGUGGGGCUUCAGGGCUCAGGUGCCGCCGUGGGGCGUGGGCAGCCCACGUGUCCAAGUGGACGAGCGCCUUGCACUCGGGGCUGAGCUGGAUGCCGGGGAGCAGGGCACGGCUGGCGCUGAGAUUGGGUCAGGAACCCCCAGGUCAGCGUGGCCCGGGCCUGCCCACAGCCCCGAAUGAGAACGAGAAGCCGGACGGGAGGCGGGUGUCCCUGAGUCCCAGCCCUGGCCCCGUCCCACAGGCGCAGGCCGUGGCAAAGCUCCCCCGCCCCUGAGUCUGCGCAGGGAUGAGCUCCCUGCCACACUCCCCCCCUGCGGAGGCCUGGGGCCAGACAAGCCCGCUCCCCUCAGCUCCGGCCACAGUCCCGAGGGACUAGCACCGCGGGGUCUCCUGGGCGCCUCGGGCAGCGGGGGACGGCCCUACGGGGAGUAAAAGUGCCCGGAGUCCUGGCUGUGCUCCCUCAGGUCCGGGUGGGGGCAGAGCUCGAGGUGGGGCCUCCCAGGCAGAGGAUGAGGCUCGGAUCCGCCUUGGCGGUGUGGACCGGACCCUCUAAGAACACACUGGGCCCUGGUGACCAGGGACCGGAGAGCUAAGACCAAGGCCACUGGGGAGGAUUCAGCGGCCUCUGUGGUCCCGCACGCGUGGAGAGGAGCCGACAGGCCUCCCGCUCGCUCCGCGGGUGCUGUCCUCGCGGCCUCUCCCAGCGUCUCCCAGCCACCAGCCCCACGUUUGGUCAAGGCAGUCCCAGGCGGGCCCCCCAUGAGAAUGGGCUGCGGGGACCGGGUGGGUGACAGCCUGAAGAGCCAGAUGAGGUUAGGAGCCAGUGACCCCCUCCCCGCCUCCCACGCGCACACUUCUCUGCAGGAGCAGCUGGGCCCGGAGGGUGCCCAGAACCCGGCGUUCAGCGCCUCUGCCGGGCCUGCGUGUCCAGGGGCCACGCGGUCCCCUGUGCCAGCCCCUGUGCCCCAGCCUGCCCUUCCCCAGACUCUGUCCUUGCUCCUGGGAGGCCCAGGCCCUGGAUAGCGCUCACUGCCCCGGGCCUGCACCCCAGGUGACGGGGAGCCUUGCCAAGAAGCUGGGGUGGGAAAGUGGGGACCGAGGAGUGAGGGGCUCCACGGGAGAAGCCCCCUCUGUCACAGAGGCGCCCCGAGCUCUUCCCCUUCCCCUGAGGCUUUGGGGUAGACAGGAGAGGGCCCUGGAGGACACGCUGGGCGGGGAGACACACUGCCAGGCUGCACCCUGGGGUACUCCCCCGCCUGCCUUGGCCUCUGGGGGACUGGGGACGGAGCAGGAAGGGCGUGGCCAGGUGGCUUUGGGUGGGAGAGGCCUGCAGAGCCAAGGAGGCUGGUGCCCCCGGGCAGCUCGGGCUCCCAGCGGUGAAGCGGGGUACCGGCUGACCUACCUCAGAGGGGCUCACAUGAGACGUGCACCUGGUUCCCAGUUCCCAGGCCUGGGGCCGGGGGGCACCCGUGCUAAGGUCGGAAAUCCACGGAGGCUCCAGAGCUCCGCCACAGCGUUGUGGGCAAGUGACAGAGUCAGGAAGCCAGAUGCUGUCACCGGGAGCUGCCAGGGACCGAUAAGGUGGCCGGGCCACCACCCGGGGCGACAGGACCCCUAGCCUUCGCCUCGGCUGCAAUCUGGGGACCCCUAAGGGGUGAGGUCGCCUGCCGGUGGGACCUGGGGGACUCAGGGGUUCCGACCCUCAGGCUGAGACAGUGUCCCCAGGGGGCAGAGCCCAUGUGGCCCGAGCACCAGGCUCCUGGCGCCCCGCAGGGUACAGCCGGGGACCCUCUGGGGAACGGAGCAACCCCUGCCUCUGCGCAAGCUGAGGGCGGGCGGGCGGGCGCCCGAGGGCCCUUCCCUGGGGAGAGCCGGGUCACCCCCGCCGGCCUGCCAUUCGGACAGCUGGUGGCGGGCACUGCCCCAGGCGGGGCGCGGGUCACAGCCUCCUUCUGCCACAGACUGACCGGGACAGUGACUGCGGACCGGGACGGCCAGAAACCAAGACGCAGCCAGGGCUCCCUGGGGAGGGGGAGCCCCGAAGCUCUGAGCCCCCACGCCGGGCGGUGCAGUGGAGGCCUCCCGGUCCCCUGCCCGCCACAGGGCCCGAGGUGCCAAGGUGGCACCAGCUUCCUGCCUUUCGGCGGAGGAGGUCACCUGCCCUUUCCCGGCGGGCCCCGCUGGCUCGGAACGGAGCUGGGCCGGGAGCGGCUGGGGUGCCGGGGUCCUGCUGGGGCCGGUCGGUCCACCCGCUGCUCUGGGGCCAGCCGAACGGUGGCCACGGACAUUCCGCUGGACUUGAGCGCCGGGCACCGGGCUUCAGGCUUCAGAGGGAGUUCUGAUUCACUUCCGGCCCGGGUCACUCGAGGCCCCGCUCCACAGACCGGGAGGCUGCCCAGAGGACAGUAACGCGCCCGCAGCCACACAGCAAGCCGGCAGCUAAGCCCCGGGGCCCCCCAACCUGUCCCGGAAAGGGGGCUUCUCGCGGUUUCUGAGCUGGACAGAUUGGCCAUCUCCGCGGCCACGGGCAAGGCCGGCUUGGCGGUGACCCGCAGGAGGCCACCUGGCCAGCUCCCCCUUUCCGACCCCCCCAGCCCGCUGUGCUUCCUGCCCCACAGGGCUCUGCAGCUGGGCCCGACGCCUCUAGAGCUGGAACCCCCGCCCCGCCGGCGAGGACUUCACCGAGGCAGAGUUUUGCAGAGGACAGAACGCGGCUCACGCUGCUCCCCCCGAGUCUCCUGCGGAGGGUUCUCCGCCCGGCGCGGGGCUCUGCGGGGGGGGGGGCUGCGGGGGGCCGAGUUCCGGGGGGUCGAGCCCACCUGGGCUGCGGCUGAAGUCUCCCCAGGGCUGAGACUGGACUCAGAGCGAACCUGGUGGCCGUCAACUGCCCUGUUUCUCAUGGUGCAAAAGGCUGCAUUUCGGUGACCGCAGGCGCAGCCGACGAUUCCCGGGCGGUGCAACCGGAUGGGGCGGUUCGGGUCACCCGGGAGGUCCCCGGGAGGACACGCAGACCCGACCUGUCGGGUCCCCCCGUUGCUCGCUGGCCUCAGGCGCCGAGAACCUUCCGCGGAGGCCGCCCCCGCCCGCGUGCCCCUGCACCCCACGCAGAUUCUCCGGGUCCGUCGGGAGCCCGACUCAUCUGCCACGGUCUCCCUCAGCGUCGCCUCCUGCAGUCCCCGUGCACUGUCCCCACCCUGCAGGUCUCCGGCCUCGGCCCUCCUCUCCAUGCCCUGUAGACAAGGCCCACCGCUGCUCCAUGUGGCAGCCUCCUGCUGUGUCACAGGAAGCUGGGAGGUGUGAGACCAACUAUGGGUUAGCGGUUGUUCAAGUCUUAGGAGUGCCCGGCUGGCUUGCUCGGCGGGCAGGCAACUCUGGAUGUCGGAGUUGUGCCCUGGAGGCCCACGCCGGGCGUAGAUUACGCCGUAAGCAGCACUAAAAGGGCGCCUGAGUGGCUCAGCUGGUGAAGUGUGAUCCCAGGUCACACUUGCAUCGGGCUCUCUGCUCAGUGGGGAGUCGGCUUCACCCUCUCCCUCCGCCACUCUCCCUGCUUCUGCUCUCUCUUG
This is an RNA transcript of Canis lupus familiaris (dog), 4001 nucleotides long. It is a transcript of the gene named collagen alpha-1(I) chain-like, with no coding region annotated. The transcript is spliced from 3 exons. NCBI's taxonomy places the organism in Eukaryota, Metazoa, Chordata, Mammalia, Carnivora, Canidae. The record is from RefSeq and is a predicted model, not a curated record.